RNAcentral lists this ribosomal RNA (459 nucleotides) under uncultured bacterium. Its description in RNAcentral is "partial 16S ribosomal RNA". It matches the Rfam family "Bacterial small subunit ribosomal RNA", at positions 338 to 795 of the family's 1533-position model. The record is from RNAcentral.
CCUACGGGAGGCAGCAGUGAGGAAUAUUGGUCAAUGGCCGGGAGGCUGAACCAGCCAAGUCGCGUGAGGGAAGACGGCCCUACGGGUUGUAAACCUCUUUUGUCAGGGAGCAAGGUGCAGGUCGGGACCUGCUGUGAGAGUACCUGAAGAAAAAGCAUCGGCUAACUCCGUGCCAGCAGCCGCGGUAAUACGGAGGAUGCGAGCGUUAUCCGGAUUUAUUGGGUUUAAAGGGUGUGCAGGCGGAGGCACAAGUCAGCGGUAAAAUCGCGGGGCUCAACCCCGCUCCGCCGUUGAAACUGUGUGCCUUGAGUGCGCGAAGGGUAGGCGGAAUGCGUGGUGUAGCGGUGAAAUGCAUAGAUAUCACGCAGAACUCCGAUCGCGAAGGCAGCCUACCGGCGCGCAACUGACGCUCAUGCACGAAAGCGUGGGUAUCGAACAGGAUUAGAUACCCGGGUAGUC